This is a long non-coding RNA of Patiria miniata (bat star), 569 nucleotides long. RefSeq lists it as uncharacterized. Lineage: Eukaryota; Metazoa; Echinodermata; Asteroidea; Valvatida; Asterinidae. The transcript has 3 exons. The record is from RefSeq and is a predicted model, not a curated record.
GCGCCAUCAUGUGUUUCGCGCGCCGUACGAUCUCGUCAGAUCAUCUCGAUGCUCAAGAUCAUCGGGCGAUCGCAAAGUGACGUGCGAUUUCACGAUACGACUCCGAGUGAUUUUAAAAAAGAAAGACAUCUUAUCUUGAGGUCUUUUAGGGCGUCGAAUCUUAAUCUACAUGUUGCUUUUGUGUUGUACAUUGUUUGAAGUGACAAAGUCCAUCGCUUGAUCUGAUCUUGAAAGACGAUCUAAAGAGCAGGUCUGCGGUACGAUGUCUUCUUUUAGAAAUGCACCUCUUUGUUUGAUCUUGGUGACUGUUGAAAUUGCAUUGCAACUUGCUCUGACUUCCGACACGUCUGGUUAUCACUUAUCAGUUGGUUCUCACAGAACUGACGCGGGAUCGCUGAACGGCAAGUUUUAUUUGGAGAACUCACAAGUGGUAAGAAAGUUAUAUUAGUACAUCACAAGUCCGCUAAAAGUUAAUCACAAGUCUUCAAAAGCGACAGGGAUGAACAGUUACUUGUCAUGGACUUGUGAUGGACCUGUGAUGGACUUGUGAUGGACCUGUGAUGAACUUG